RNAcentral lists this transfer RNA (75 nucleotides) under Streptomyces hygroscopicus subsp. sporocinereus. RNAcentral describes it as "tRNA-Val". The record is from RNAcentral. Lineage: Bacteria; Bacillati; Actinomycetota; Actinomycetes; Kitasatosporales; Streptomycetaceae.
CGGCGGCUGGCCGGGCUGAGCGAGGCCGAGCAGCUCGACGUGGUGCUGGACCUGGUCCGUACCCAGGUCGCCGCC